This is a regulatory RNA element of Paenibacillus polymyxa SC2, 87 nucleotides long. NCBI's taxonomy places the organism in Bacteria, Bacillati, Bacillota, Bacilli, Caryophanales, Paenibacillaceae. The record is from Rfam.
CACAUGCUGUAACCGCUCCAAUCAGGUACUGAAGUGCAGUAUCCUAAGGAAACUGCCACCUGCAAUUAGGCGAGUCUGAGACAUAAG